This 119-nucleotide ribosomal RNA is filed under the name Triticum aestivum (bread wheat). The record is from RNAcentral. Lineage: Eukaryota; Viridiplantae; Streptophyta; Magnoliopsida; Poales; Poaceae. RNAcentral also lists the same sequence under 2 other names.
GGAUGCGAUCAUACCAGCACUAAAGCACCGGAUCCCAUCAGAACUCCGAAGUUAAUCGUGCUUGGGCGAGAGUAGUACUAGGAUGGGUGACCUCCUGGGAAGUCCUCGUGUUGCAUUCC